RNAcentral lists this ribosomal RNA (301 nucleotides) under uncultured bacterium. Its description in RNAcentral is "partial 16S ribosomal RNA". It matches the Rfam family "Bacterial small subunit ribosomal RNA", at positions 509 to 809 of the family's 1533-position model. The record is from RNAcentral.
CAGUCGCCACGGGAACACGAGGGGGGCAAGCGUUGUUCGGAUUUAUUGGGCGUAAAGGGUGCGUAGGCGGUUUGGCAAGUCUUGUGUGAAAUCGAUGGGCUCAACCCAUCGUCUGCACGAGAAACUACCGGGCUUGAGUGGUGGAGAGGUGAGUGGAAUUUCCGGUGUAGCGGUGAAAUGCGUAGAUAUCGGAAGGAACACCUGUGGCGAAAGCGGCUCACUGGACACUAACUGACGCUGAGGCACGAAAGCUAGGGGAGCAAACAGGAUUAGAUACCCCCGUAGUCCCUGUCUCUUAUAA